RNAcentral lists this long non-coding RNA (215 nucleotides) under Elaeis guineensis (African oil palm). RNAcentral describes it as "long non-coding RNA (EGUI_LNC033442)". Lineage: Eukaryota; Viridiplantae; Streptophyta; Magnoliopsida; Arecales; Arecaceae. The record is from RNAcentral.
CCUAAGUGGUCAAGAUACAUAAGAUCUCGUGGGGCUGACAGGCAGACAUCUCCUGCCUUCAAAUCCAGUCUUUCGAAUACUCUGUCACAAAGAUAGCUACUCAAUCUGCCAUGCUGUUCACAUGCAAAUUUCAAAUCAACCAAUCCGCAAAUCUUGGGAGCUGUAGCAGCCCCUCUUGCCAUAUGAAAAAUGUAAUUAUUUCUGCAUACCAAACG